CGGCGAGUGAAGCGGGACCAGCUCAAAUUUGGAAUCAAUAUCUCAUAGAGAGAUUGAAUUGUAGUUUAGAGAAGCGAGUAAUUCCGGUAAAUGGCAAGCGGCCCAAGUCCCAUUGAAGAGGGCAUCAAAGAGGGUGUUAAUCCCGUCCAGAGCCGCUUAAAAAAGCCAAUAACCAAAUGCGAUGCGCUUUCCAAGAGUCGGUUUGUUUGGGAAUGCAGACCAAAAAGGGUGGUAAACACCAUCUAAAGCUAAAUAUAGGCGAGAGACCGAUAGCGAACAAGUACCGUGAGGGAAAGAUGAAAAGCACUUUGAAAAGAGGGUUAAACAGUACGUGAAAUUGUUGAAAGGGAAGCGCUUGUGACCAGACUUGGGCCCGGUUAAUCAUCCAGCGUUCUCGCUGGUGCACUUGGCCGGCCCAGGCCAGCAUCAGUUCGGCGUGGGGGAUAAAGGCGGCGGGAAUGUGGCUCCUCCGGGAGUGUUAUAGCCCACCGUGUAAUACCCUGUGCUGGACUGAGGU
RNAcentral lists this ribosomal RNA (517 nucleotides) under uncultured Fusarium. RNAcentral's name for it is "eukaryotic LSU rRNA". It matches the Rfam family "Eukaryotic large subunit ribosomal RNA", at positions 87 to 593 of the family's 3401-position model. The record is from RNAcentral. Lineage: Eukaryota; Fungi; Ascomycota; Sordariomycetes; Hypocreales; Nectriaceae.